CUAACGUUAGUAAGUCAGCUAAGAACGUAACGUUAGCUAAUUACACAACUUAGCUACCUAGCUAGUUAGCUGGAGGCCUCCCAUACCUCCAACCACUGUGUCAAGCAACACAUCUCGGACCAGUCUGAUGAAAUUGAUGUGAACCCUUCUUCAAACUCCGUACAAGACCCAAAUGCACAACUCAGACAGAGAAUCACAGAAACUGAAAUGGUGAUGCGAGGCAGAGAGAUGUGCAAAGGCAGUCUCACAGUCCAAACAGAGCCAAUGGACUAGCUGGGAAAAUCUGAAGCAUCAUAAGCUCAUAUGGAAGGAUCUUUG
RNAcentral lists this long non-coding RNA (318 nucleotides) under Sander lucioperca (pikeperch). RNAcentral describes it as "lncRNA (ENSSLUG00000010637.1)". The record is from RNAcentral. Lineage: Eukaryota; Metazoa; Chordata; Actinopteri; Perciformes; Percidae.